Molecule: small nuclear RNA, 18 nt
Filed under: Arabidopsis thaliana (thale cress)
Lineage: Eukaryota; Viridiplantae; Streptophyta; Magnoliopsida; Brassicales; Brassicaceae
Description: snRNA_04018
Source: RNAcentral
UGAGGAUAUUGCUCAGGC